GUCUGAGUUCCCCGUGCUAUGGAGCCCAUUGGAUGCUCUCACUUCCUGCUUGACAGUUUGGACACACGACUAACAGGGAGACAAAAGACACAGCUGACUGCCGAGCAACGUGCUUGGCGUUGGCAGACAUCGCUGUAAUGCUUCAGGAGACUUCGGCAGGAAGGAGGCUUGUUUACAUGGAGCUUGAACCCGGUUCUACUCAACUACCAACCCACAAGGCCUCGCUGUGUGUUGCCAACAUCUCCUGCCGUAGAGCCUUGUUAUUAAGACCAACGGAUAUUGGCAUCCAGGGACUGGAGGCCAUAAUCACAGGGGAUAGAUCUGCACCAAGCAGUGGGCCAACUCAGAGAUAUUUCAUUACUGAUCCAGUAACCAUCAUUUACUUGUGUGUGUGUGUGUGUGUGUAAGGCUAAAGGGUAACAUUUGUUCUUGCCUGUUUCCCAUUUUCCCUCAAUCAGAGGAACCUCUUGUCCAAUUUCACCAUCCCCUUACUUCCACCCCCAUCCUCCACUAAUUAGGGUUCCAGAUCACUGCCACAUGCAUGUGGGCUGACAGCGGUGUGUGUGUGUGUGUGUGUGUGUGUGUGUGCGCGCGAGUGUGCACGUAUGUAUAUUUAUGUUCAUCUCAAGGGGUCAAGGAGAUGUUCCUUGCCUCACUAACUAUUAAAAGGCUGACCCCAGAUUUAGUCUCAGAUUACUAGAUUGCCAAAUGUUUUCCACAUGGUCUUUCCAUAUCAAUCUAGAGCUCGUUGGCCCAUGUUCUGGCUUGGCCCCUCGUCGUCCCACUCUCACCCGACUACAGAAACACAAUGCCAUAGCACACAAAUGGAUGACUUCAUGCCUCGUAAUGUUUUUCAGACGUUUCCCUCAGAUUUGUAAUGUUGACUGAGAAGCAGUGUUCGCUCUUAACCCGGCUACCAAUUUGCCUGCCUGAUUUAUAGUUGUGCUGUGAAAAGGAGGAUAUCGGGGUGAAAUCAUGGGUUCCUGUGGUUGGAGGAUUGUUGUAUGAAACCAGCAGCCCUUUAUUCAGGCAGCCGAUUGGAGGCCCCUCAGUUUAGCCAAAAACAAAAUGUGCUAAAAUGAUUUGGAACUGGACUGAGGCAGGUGUGUCUGUGUGUUUCUGUGUGUGUCUGUGUCUCUGUGUGUGUGUGUGUGUGGGUGUGUGUGUGGUUAAAAUGUACGGUAUGUUCAUUAUUUACAGACUUUUUAUCAAUAUAAUUUAUUCUUAACCCACAAAUUAUGUAAUAUUUUUGUCAAAUUAUUAUACCAGAGUCAGAGCCAGUUUUAGCUCUUUAAUCUCAAAUUAGGAAAUCUCUACUGUACAUUUUUGCUAAUUGUUGAUAUUGUUCAAGCUAUACAGGUUUCUACUUCAGGUAUCCACUGGUUUCCAUUUUGUUAUUGUACAUUAUGACAAUCAAUUAUCAAAAUUUGUGAAACUUGCUUAAAUUGUGUGAUGCAG
Xiphias gladius (swordfish) is the source of this 1458-nucleotide long non-coding RNA. RefSeq lists it as uncharacterized. The record is from RefSeq and is a predicted model, not a curated record. NCBI's taxonomy places the organism in Eukaryota, Metazoa, Chordata, Actinopteri, Istiophoriformes, Xiphiidae. The transcript is spliced from 3 exons.